AUGUGUGCCCUCAAGGGAAGUUUACCUGUAUUCAGCAGCUAAGUGAGGGUGCACAGUGAAUAGUUUUCAAGUAUUAUUAAGUUUUUCGUACAUAUUCAAUAUAUCUUCAUCCAUGUUUCAAGAGUGUCUGCCAUAUCUUUUCAAAUGGAUUUAAGCUAAGAACUUACUAAAACUAUUGUUUUGGACAUUUUCGGGCACGGCAGAAAAUACUUCUAUGCAAUUCAUAGAUAUAAUUUAUGAAAAUGAUCUUGAAAACAAACUAUUUAGGUGAUCAACUAAAACGAAUCAGAUAUGCUGAUAGAGUGAUAUAAAACUAUCCCCGUGUCUCUUAACUUAUAGACUUGUUUCAAAUGAUAGAUUGCUGGAUGUAUCGCUUUGUAACCGAAGCCCGAACACAAUAUGGUGAGUACACACCUUAUGCUAUUUUCAUAAAGUGUUAGUGAUGGGGCAUAACAGAUACGAGAUAGAUAGAUAGAGAGAGAGAGAGAGAAAAAAAAAGAGAGAGAGAGAAUAUCUUAAAUAGAGCGUGUCUGUUUUCUUGUUUCUGUUGUCGCCCUAGCCACCCUUUUUGUGUUUUUUGUUUUAAUAUUCAUUGCUCCCUACCAAAUUUGGUAACUGACAUAUCGUAUUCAGAAAGUGCGAUUCCCUUCCUUGAUUGUUACAAAUCAUUGAUAAUCAUUGGUCUAAUGAUUAGAAAUACAAAGGCACGGCUACCCAACAAUGACGCUUGGACUUGGGGUGUACAAAGUUAUUUGGUAGACGCAAAAAAUUUCUGUUUGAGGUGUGAAACAUGUAGUGAGAAAUAAAUUUAAUAUGAAUGAAGUGUUGCAAUAUUGCCAUUUCGCUGUAUGCAAAUGUAAAGGAAAACACUCGAGAAUUUACAACUUAGAACGUAAACAAGAAAAAAAUGGCGUCUAACAUAGACCAGCCUGGAUAACAAUUUACAGGAUGAAAUAAACAUGGGCACGAAUAACACCACGCAAAAUACACUUCUACAUUCUAUAAUAUAUAUAUAAAUGCAGGAAAAACAACUUACAUUUUGCAAGGACAGGGAGACGAUGACUGUAGCUAAAAAUGUACACUGGCGUGUGGCGGGAUCACAUUGUUACGUUGGAGCAAUGGGCAUAAUAAUAACUUCCAAAGAGUUCCAAGACAAGAGCAAAUAACUCUAAUAAAAAUAUGUUAAAAGAUGGAUAACUCUUACAUUCCACCACACUCCCCGCCUGCCAUCAGUAAAUACCACUACUUACAUGUUUGAAAAAAUACAAAACAAUAUAGCAAACGUAAAGUGUAGUAUGAAAAAUUGUCAAAUACACAUGUUCAUACAUACAUGUAUAUCUCUAAUAAAGGUUUGUUUGACAAAGCAGCAGUCUUUAAGUGUCGCAGAGAUAAUGUCACCGAGAUUCAACACACAGUCUCUAAAUAUCAAUGAGAUUCAACACACGGUCUCUAAAUAUCACUGACACUCAACACAUAGUCUCUAAAUAUCACUGAGAUUCAACACACGGUCUCUAAAUAUCACUGAGACUCAACACAUAGUCUCUAAAUAUCACUGAGAUUCAACACAAAGUCUCUAAAUAUCACUGAGAUUCAACACACAGUCUCUAAAUAUCACUGAGACUCAACACAAAGUCUCUAAAUAUCACUGAGACUUAACACACAGUCUCUAAAUAUCACUGAGACUUAAUACACAGUCUCUAAAUAUCACUGAGACUCAACAAACAGUCUCUAAAUAUCACUGAGAUUCAACACAUAGUCUCUAAAUAUCAUUGAGACUUAAUACACAGUCUCUAAAUAUCACUGAGACUUAACAUACGGUCUCUAAAUAUCACUGAGACUCAACACACAGUCUCUAAAUAUCACUGAGACUCAACACAAAGUCUCUAAAUAUCACUGAGACUCAACACAAAGUCUCUAAAUAUCACUGAGAUUCAACACAAAGUCUCUAAAUAUCACUGAGAUUCAACACACAGUCUCUAAAUAUCACUGAGAUUCAACACACAGUCUCUAAAUAUCACUGAGACUCAACACAAAGUAUUUAAAUAUCACCGAGACUUAACACAAAGUCUCUAAAUAUCACUGAGACUCAACACACAGUCUCUAAAUAUCACUGAGACUCGAGCAGGAGCACCAGUUCAUGUACAGGACGGAUAUAAAAAGUUGGUUUGUCUCCUCGAAUGAUUCGCACGACUACUUUCCGCACAAGGUCAUCAUCAUUGUGAAACACACGAUCAAUAACACCAAUUGGCCAACGAUUUCUAUGUUCUGCAGGAUCUCUCAACAACACAACAUCGUCCACUUUGAGGUUUCUCUGUUCACUAUUCCAUUUUCUUCUAUUCUGUAAAAUGUUCAAAUAUUGUUUACGCCAUUGCUGCCAGAAUAUAUCAGUAAGAAUUUGAACAUGUUUCCACGGAGAACAGUAAACAUCUUGUGGUCUAAGUGAGUCCGACACGACGGGUAAGAAUUCUACUUUCCAAGUGAGAAGCAUCAAUGGUGUCAGAAUCAAAGGUUCAUCUGGAUCUGGAUAUGGGAGUAAGUGGACGCUAUUUUAUGAUAGCAGAAACUUCACAUAAGAAUGUCACCAACGUUUCAUGAAUAAGAUGUUUGCUACUCGAUUAAAAAAGUAUGGAGUCAAGGAUUUUCCGAGUCAUUCCUAUCAUUCGAUCCCAUAUACCACCGAUGUGUGAGGAAUGAGGUACGUUGAAAAUCCAAAUAAUCCCAGAUUUGUUCAGAAACUGCUGUACUGGUUCCUCUUCCACCUUUACCGUAUUGACUUUCAUUUCCUCUGUUGCUCCAAUAAAAUUUGAGUCACGGUCUGAUCGUAUAAACUUCGCAGGGCCACGGACUGCCAUGAACUACGUAAAACACAUAUGAAAGAAGAACUUGUCAUUUGUUCGAGAACCUCGAUAUGUACUGCUCUGACUAAUAGACAGGUGAACAAUAAGCCCCAUCUUUUACCGUUUGCUGUCCCUCCACGAGUUUUACGUGUGGAAACAUCCCAGGGUACAAAAACAUCAAUCCCCACGGAUGUAAGCAAGGGUCUAGGAGUAACUCUGUCAAUGGGAACAUCCGCCAUCUUCAGUGAUUCGAGACUGUGUCGAAGUUUGCGACAAGUGACACACUUGUGUAUCUUAGGCCUGUCCACAAACGUGUUAUCUCUACUUGUAUUCUAACAUUUAGUGUGAAUAUGACAAUUUCCGGAUAGUAAGACAAUCAGACUGCACAAUAUUUGAAGUGUUAUGUUGAGUAUGGAAUGGAUGCAUGCUGUUAAAAAUCGAAAACAGUUGAAAUCAUUUCUACGAGAGGCCACUUUGAGAUGUUUGAUUAUGUAGGCACGUAUAGGCACAUACGUGUAUCGUGCCAUAACAGAAUUUGCACUGAGAGAUUCAGGGGGACACCCCCCUCCUUUCGCCACAAAUAUACAAAAUGAUGUGAAUAUUUUACCCAAAAUGGCUGUAUUUACAGAUAGUAUACCAGUAGCUUUGUUACUCCGCCCUCCUACUCAAAGAAGUCCUUUGUUAUCCAGAAAAGGUGAAAGUGUUGCUAUUUUACUAUCCAUAUGUGGCAAAGUAAUUUCUUAUCUAAUAUGCAUAUAAUGCAUUCACAUAUGCAUGUAUGAAUUGUUAUUCUUUUAUUUUAUUUCAACUUAACAUCAAUAUUAUGUGUAUUGAAUUAUAUAAUCCUUUAAUGGAUCUGCAAUUCAAUAUCCGGUCAAGCAUACCACUUUAGUGGGUUCUUUGGUAUAGAGUGCCUGAGGUGCCUAAUCAUGUCUUGGCCAAGUUGUCCAUAAUUCUUUUAAUUUCAUUGGUGUUUUAGUUUUGUG
Long non-coding RNA from Ostrea edulis (European flat oyster), 3823 nucleotides. RefSeq lists it as uncharacterized. The record is from RefSeq and is a predicted model, not a curated record. NCBI's taxonomy places the organism in Eukaryota, Metazoa, Mollusca, Bivalvia, Ostreida, Ostreidae. The transcript has 3 exons.